UUUGUCUGUUUCAUUCUUGUCAGUGAAGGAGGGUGAGAGAUGAGUAGUGUGAGUGAGGGGUACGUGACUGUAAGUGGAGUUUCAUUAAGGUUGUGUGCUGAGGUGGGCGGCGAUCGAGGCCUCGGGUCUUCCCGUCACGCCUUUGUCACGCCAGGUUUUUAAAGAAGGCUGACGGACGUCCUUCGUUCCCUAUAGACGCUUCGCUCCCUCAAUGCUUCUCACUCGUCCUGCCACUCUGGAGGUGAGAUGGUACAAGUCUCAGCUCGGGGCUCAGUUAUGUGAUUUGUUUUGUCUGCAGGGUUUUUGAUCUUAAAAAAGACAUGGAGAGGAAACGUUAGUUAAUACAAAUACAUUUAAAUGGUUUAAGUCAGUAGUUUACAGUACGCUGGUUAGCGGUAAAACUGAACUGAAAAACUGUAAAAACUAACAAUCAAAAUAAACAACACUUUAAAUUAAAGGAAUCUAAUAUUAAUAGGGGUGUAACGAUUAAUUUGAACAACGAGUCGAUUCGAAUCGCGACUCGAUUCAUGGAUGAUCUGGGUUAAUUUAGGCAAGGCAAGGCAAUUUUAUUUGUAUAGCACUUUUCAUACACAAGGCAGACUCAAAGUGCUUCAUAUUAUAACAUUUCAUACAAUAAAGUGAAAUAAAAUGCAGGAAUUAGAAGACGAUUAAAAACAGCAAAUAAAAUUAUAAAUAACCCUUAUUUAAAUUGUUUAAUUAAAAGCAGAGGUUAAAAGUGCAAUGUAGGUAAAAUUUAGCAGAAGGCGAAGCUGAACAUAAAAGUUUUCAGUCUUGUUUUAAACGUGGUCAGAGUUGGGGCAACCUACUAGUUAUAAAGGCAUGUACAAGUCUUGAGCUGACAUGAGCCCUCUAAGUCGUGCGACAUUUUUGAGGUGGUAGUAGGCCGAUUUUGUUACUGAUUUGAUGUGACUCUCCAAGUGUAAAUCUGAAUCCAUAAUAACCCCCAGAUUUCUGGCUUUAUUUGAUGUUUUCAGGGACA
Molecule: long non-coding RNA, 1000 nt
Organism: Gasterosteus aculeatus aculeatus (three-spined stickleback)
Lineage: Eukaryota; Metazoa; Chordata; Actinopteri; Perciformes; Gasterosteidae
Source: Ensembl